RNAcentral lists this ribosomal RNA (534 nucleotides) under uncultured Acidobacteriota bacterium. RNAcentral's name for it is "bacterial SSU rRNA". It matches the Rfam family "Bacterial small subunit ribosomal RNA", at positions 13 to 529 of the family's 1533-position model. The record is from RNAcentral. Lineage: Bacteria; Pseudomonadati; Acidobacteriota.
UUGAUCCUGGCUCAGAAUCAACGCUGGCGGCGUGCCUAACACAUGCAAGUCGAACGCGGUUAUCCAGCAAUGGAUGACUGAGUGGCGAACGGGUGAGUAUCACGUGGGUGACCUACCUUCGAGUGGGGGAUAACGUCCCGAAAGGGACGUUAAUACCGCAUAACAUCCUGCCUUUGAACAGGCGGUGAUCAAAGCCGGGUACCGUAAGGCCCGGCGCUUGAUGAGGGGCUCGCGUCUGAUUAGCUAGUUUGUGAGGUAACGGCCCACCAAGGCGACGAUCAGUAUCCGGCCUGAGAGGGUGGACGGACACACUGGGACUGAGACACGGCCCAGACUCCUACGGGAGGCAUCAGUGGGGAAUUGUUCACAAUGGGCGCAAGCCUGAUGACGCAACGCCGCUUGGAGGAUGAAGGUCUUCGGAUUGUAAACUCCUGUUGCCCGGGACGAAAUGCUCUGACCUAACACGUCGGAGUCUGACGGUACCGGGUGAGGAAGCCCCUGCUAACUCUGUGCCAGCAGCCGCGGUAAUAAGGU